Molecule: ribosomal RNA, 644 nt
Filed under: uncultured Acidimicrobiia bacterium
Lineage: Bacteria; Bacillati; Actinomycetota; Acidimicrobiia
Description: bacterial SSU rRNA
Rfam family: Bacterial small subunit ribosomal RNA
Source: RNAcentral
CGCGGCCUAUCAGCUUGUUGGUGGGGUAAUGGCCUACCAAGGCGAUGACGGGUAGCUGGCGUGAGAGCGUGACCAGCCACACUGGGACUGAGACACGGCCCAGACUCCUACGGGAGGCAGCAGUAGGGAAUCUUGCACAAUGGGCGAAAGCCUGAUGCAGCGACGCCGCGUGAGGGAUGACGGCCUUCGGGUUGUAAACCUCUUUCAGCGGGGACGAAGCGAAAGUGACGGUACCCGCAGAAGAAGGUCCGGCCAACUACGUGCCAGCAGCCGCGGUAACACGUAGGGACCGAGCGUUGUCCGGAUUUAUUGGGCGUAAAGCGCGCGUAGGCGGCUGUCCACGUCGGAUGUGAAAGCUCGGAGCUCAACUCUGAGAGGCCAUUCGAUACGGGACAGCUAGAGGCAGCUAGGGGAGAGUGGAAUUCCUGGUGUAGCGGUGAGAUGCGCAGAUAUCAGGAGGAACACCGGUGGCGAAGGCGGCUCUCUGGGGCUGUUCUGACGCUGAGGCGCGAAAGCUGGGGGAGCGAACAGGAUUAGAUACCCUGGUAGUCCCAGCCGUAAACGUUGGGUGCUAGGUGUGGGGAGGCCUUCAACCCUUUCCGUGCCGAAGCUAACGCAUUAAGCACCCCGCCUGGGGAGUACGG